ACUCCAUGGUGAGGACAAGAUCUAAUGUAACCCAUCAAUCUUUCACAUGCUUUAUAGAGAGCUUAUUUUGGACCUUGCUUGAAGCUUGUGAUGUUGUUUCUAAUCCA
Arabis alpina (gray rockcress) is the source of this 107-nucleotide non-coding RNA. NCBI's taxonomy places the organism in Eukaryota, Viridiplantae, Streptophyta, Magnoliopsida, Brassicales, Brassicaceae. The record is from Rfam.